Gasterosteus aculeatus (three-spined stickleback) is the source of this 45-nucleotide non-coding RNA. The record is from Rfam. Lineage: Eukaryota; Metazoa; Chordata; Actinopteri; Perciformes; Gasterosteidae.
UAAAAGGCUUUAUUAAAAGCCCAUCAUUGAGCAUUAAAAAAAAAA